Molecule: ribosomal RNA, 426 nt
Filed under: uncultured bacterium
Lineage: Bacteria
Description: bacterial SSU rRNA
Rfam family: Bacterial small subunit ribosomal RNA
Source: RNAcentral
GUGAGGAAUAUUCGUCAAUGGGGGCAACCCUGAACGAGCAACGCCGCGUGCAGGAAGAAGGUUUUCGGAUCGUAAACUGCUUUUCUCUGGGACGAGAACGGACGGUACCAGAGGAAUCAGCCCCGGCUAACUACGUGCCAGCAGCCGCGGUAAUACGUAGGGGGCAAGCGUUGUCCGGAUUUAUUGGGCGUAAAGCGCACGCAGGCGGUCGAGGAAGUUCAGGGUGACAGUUCCCGGCUCAACUGGGGAAGGACCUUGAAAACUCCUGGACUUGAGGGCUUCAGAGGGACACGGAAUUCCGGGUGUAGUGGUGAAAUGCGUAGAUAUCCGGAGGAACACCAAAGGCGAAGGCAGUGUCCUGGGAAGUCUCUGACGCUCAGGUGCGAAAGCUAGGGGAGCGAACGGGAUUAGAUACCCCUGUAGUCC